GGUGAUGAGGAGAGGAAGAGUGAAGGUUGCUGGUUUAGAGUGGUGACAGUGGCUGCAUUUACAAGGACAGCACCGUGUGCCAGGUAACUGUUACAUGAUGUCCCAGACAUGAUAAUUUCUUCCUUUGCCACUCAAGAAGAAGGGAGAAGCUGACAGCUUGGCUGCUUUGCUGAAGAGGGGAGCUCCACAUUAGGGAAAAAAAUUAUAGUAUAGAAGACGAAGCAGUGAAAAAACAAAGAUGAAGCCAUCGUGAACCUCCAAGCAAAGUGCAUUACUGUAUAUGGGAUGUUUAGCAAUAAACUAGGAUUGUUAGCAUUCCUCCAACUCACAAA
Non-coding RNA from Lonchura striata (white-rumped munia), 332 nucleotides. The record is from RefSeq and is a predicted model, not a curated record. Lineage: Eukaryota; Metazoa; Chordata; Aves; Passeriformes; Estrildidae.